UGACUAUGUUGCACCAAAAUAGUGCUUCAAUGUGAACAUUAAGCACCACAUUGGUGCAAUAGAACGCAAGCCACCCUUUUAACGCUCCGUGAAAGCGAUCACAAAGAGACUCUGCAAUACUUGUUUGCGGAGGAUGUUUGUGAUCCUGUUUU
This 152-nucleotide small RNA is filed under the name Salmonella enterica subsp. enterica serovar Typhi. RNAcentral's name for it is "StyR-241". The stretch from base 21 to 128 matches the Rfam family "ES222 sRNA". Rfam says of the family: Differentially expressed under several chemical stress and fermentation conditions. The record is from RNAcentral. Lineage: Bacteria; Pseudomonadati; Pseudomonadota; Gammaproteobacteria; Enterobacterales; Enterobacteriaceae.